GACGAACGCUGGCGGCGUGCUUAACACAUGUAAGUCGAACGAAGAGCGAUGGAAGCUUGCUUCUAUCAAUCUUAGUGGCGAGCAGGUGAGUAACGCGUAAUCAACCUGCCCUUCAGAGGGGGACAACAGUUGGAAACGACUGCUAAUACCGCAUACGAUCUAAACUCGGCAUCGAGGAUAGAUGAAAGGUGGCCUCUACAUGUAAGCUAUCACUGAAGGAGGGGAUUGCGUCUGAUUAGCUAGUUGGAGGGGUAACGGCCCACCAAGGCGAUGAUCAGUAGCCGGUCUGAGAGGAUGAACGGCCACAUUGGGACUGAGACACGGCCCAGACUCCUACGGGAGGCAGCAGUGGGGAAUCUUCCGCAAUGGACGAAAGUCUGACGGAGCAACGCCGCGUGAGUGAUGACGGCCUUCGGGUUGUAAAGCUCUGUUAAUCGGGACGAAAGGCCUUCUUGCGAAUAGUGAGAAGGAUUGACGGUACCGGAAUAGAAAGCCACGGCUAACUACGUG
This 510-nucleotide ribosomal RNA is filed under the name uncultured bacterium. Its description in RNAcentral is "partial 16S ribosomal RNA". It matches the Rfam family "Bacterial small subunit ribosomal RNA", at positions 28 to 507 of the family's 1533-position model. The record is from RNAcentral.